CGAACGGGUGAGUAACACGUGAGCAACCUGCCCUAGUACAACGGGAUAACACAGAGAAAUUUGUGCUAAUACGGUAUAAGACCACAGUAUCGCAUGAUACAGGGGUAAAAGAAUUUAUCGGUAUAGGAUGGGCUCGCGACCCAUUAGCUAGUUGGUGAGGUAACGGCCCACCAAGGCAACGAUGGGUAGCCGACCUGAGAGGGUGAUCGGCCACACUGGGACUGAGACACGGCCCAGACUCCUACGGAAGGCAGCAG
This 257-nucleotide ribosomal RNA is filed under the name uncultured bacterium. Its description in RNAcentral is "partial 16S ribosomal RNA". It matches the Rfam family "Bacterial small subunit ribosomal RNA", at positions 99 to 354 of the family's 1533-position model. The record is from RNAcentral.